RNAcentral lists this small nuclear RNA (107 nucleotides) under Papio anubis (olive baboon). The record is from RNAcentral. Lineage: Eukaryota; Metazoa; Chordata; Mammalia; Primates; Cercopithecidae.
GUGCUCGCUUUGGCAGCACAUGUACUAAAAUUGGAAUGAUGCAAAGAAGAUUAGCAUGGCCCCUGCACAAGGAUGACAUGCAAAUUCAUGAAGCGUUCCGUAUUUUU